Long non-coding RNA from Bos taurus (domestic cattle), 2399 nucleotides. Lineage: Eukaryota; Metazoa; Chordata; Mammalia; Artiodactyla; Bovidae. The record is from Ensembl.
CAUAUCUGAAAAACACAAUGCCACAUCCUCAGAGGGACACAGCUACACCCUUGUGGUCCUCGGGUGAGCUUGGAGCCAUCGGGAUCUUCUCAGGGACGUGGCUGCUGGCAGACACGGGGACAGGAUUCAGGCAGAGAUGCUUCCUUCUUGGGGUCUCCAGCCCUCUCCUGAUUAGAUCUGAAUCACUCCAGGCUGACCCCACGCUAAUUACUGGGGUUCACAGUCCUAGGAAUUGCAAAGGAGGGAAACAGACAUCUGCACAGAGCCUUGGUGCCUGGAUUCACCCAAGAAUCUCCACAUCCACAUUUUGUGAUUUCCACGGUAGUGCAAUGACCUCGAGGCUCACACCUCUGAAGAAGUGGCCAGGAUUUUCUGGCACCAAAGACCGCUGUGGGCUCUUGCCUCAAGUUAUCCAGCAGAUCCUCAGAGGUGUGAACUUCCUUCAGUAAGGGAAAAUACAUUGGAAUGUACAUCCUGCCAAGCAUCCAUUCAUCCCACGGUCACUGGAAACUUGGUGUUGCAGUGAGGAAGUGUGUCAAGGCUGGCUUCCCCGGAGACCUGCUUCCUGGUGGCAUCAAAAGAUGCAGAAGUUUUUGUCAGCUCACUCAACGAGAGUCUAUCUGUUCAUGCUGGCCUGGUUCAUUCAUACUCAACUUCCAAGACAUUGUUGCCUAAAGACCAAAACGACAAAUCAUCCAUUUUCAUUGAGAAAGAGAUCUCGAGAGGAGGUACUUAAAAGCUUCCAUUGGCAAUUUUUUUUUUUAAUACGGAAACAUAUCUGAGAAGCCAAAUCAAUAUCAGAACGCUGCCCUGUGGAUAGACAGAGCUGAGUAAAGUGAGACGUUGUUCAUGUCAUGACCGCUUGAUACACCCGAUUACACUAGAUGGAGUGUAGACCAGAAGGAAGGGGGUCCUCUCUCAGCAACACUGGAAGUCAGUCCAACAAAUGCCCAUGGUUCUGCACCUCUUUCUCAGUAUUCCUGGCCAGUCAUGAAAACUCCUGCAAUGGCAUUAUUUCCUCAUAAUGGAUAUGUUUCAGUGUUCCAAGAUUACCACUCACUUUUCACUUUGAAUUCUAAAUAAAGGCUUUCCUUUUGGGGAGGGACUCUGUAAGUACUUGGCUUAGUAUUUUUAAAAUGUUCUAGCUUGCUGUGGUGCGGUGUCACGUGUCUGUGGGUUAGCUGUGCCGUGUCCUUGUCUUGGAGUGCCCUCCCCGCCCUGCUGUACCCACACCCCCAACACCUCUGUCUGCUAAACUCUCAGUCAUCCUUUUCAUUCCAGGGACAAGUGUCAUCCCCUUCAGAAGCUCCCACACCCAGAGCAGGCUUAGAAGGUCUUUGCUCUGUGUUCCUAUGUUGGAGAAGGAAAUGGCAACCCACUCCAGUAUUCUUGCCUGGAGAAUCCCAUGGACAGAGGAGCCUGGCAGGCUACAGUCCAUGGGGUUUCAAGAGUUGGACAUGACUUAGCGACUAAACCACCACCUAUGUUGUUUGUUUAUCCUUUAUUCUAGCCUUUGUCAUAGGCUGCAAAGGCAGGCUUGUCUAGCCGUCUUCCCCACUAGAUUGCAAACUCUCAGGAAACAGGAACUUGGUCCAUCUCAUGGACCCGGACACAGUGCCUGGUACAGGGCAGGUAUUAGAUAGGUGCUGAUACUUGAUAAAAUCAGUGAGUGGCAUUAACAUUAGCCUACAGCUCUCCUAAUGAUGUCUCAAAAGCAUGCAAACCCCAUUUUAUUCUUCAGAUGACUUUUGACGCCUCUCGUUUAUAAAAGGCAAUGUUCAUAAAAACCUUAGGGUUGGCUUUCAAGGUGAUGAGAUGCGAACCUAGUCAGGUGAGCGAGCGUCACUAUCCUUGGGGGCACAUGGCUGCCAGAAAGAGGCGCUCUCUCCAUGCAUCUCUUCACUACCAAGCUGGUCAAGGAUGGAAACUGCAGGCUUCCCCUCAGUGUGUCCCAAAGCCCAUGGUCCUCCCUGUGGAGAAGCCCGACUGUCCCAAGCUGUGUCCUGAGGGGUUGGACAGCGAGAACCAACUUCCCUUUCCCUUCUGGUGGUUUCUCUUGGUGCAGACCAAAAUGAAAAGUUAUCUGAAAAUUCUGGAAUCAGACACACGUUUGUGGGUAAGAAAGUGAGAAGAAAAAGAUGAACUAUCUUUGUGGAGACAUGGAGAAUGUACUUUGCUGCUGGGUGGGUUUGGUGACCCUGACUCUCUUAGGAAUAAAGGAAAGCUCUCAGGAGCCUUUUGUGUUCUUGAUUAUAUUGUUCUAUUAGCUAAAUCUCCAGUGGUUCCCCCCCACUCCCCCUGGAGAAGGAAAUGUCAACCCACUCCAGUAUUCUUGCCUGGAAAAUUCCAUGGACAGAGGAGCCUGGUGGGCUACAGUCCAUGGGGUCGCAGAGUCAGCC